CUUUAUCUGGUGGAAGGGUAGACACGUUUGACUUAAAAUCAAAUGCAAUAGCAUACUGGUUCAAAUCCAGUGAUAAAGA
RNAcentral lists this transfer RNA (79 nucleotides) under Ministeria vibrans. RNAcentral describes it as "tRNA-Leu". It matches the Rfam family "tRNA". From Rfam's summary of the family: Transfer RNA (tRNA) molecules are approximately 80 nucleotides in length. Their secondary structure includes four short double-helical elements and three loops (D, anti-codon, and T loops). Further hydrogen bonds mediate the characteristic L-shaped molecular structure. tRNAs have two regions of fundamental functional importance: the anti-codon, which is responsible for specific mRNA codon recognition, and the 3' end, to which the tRNAs corresponding amino acid is attached (by aminoacyl-tRNA synthetases). tRNAs cope with the degeneracy of the genetic code in two manners: having more than one tRNA (with a specific anti-codon) for a particular amino acid; and 'wobble' base-pairing, i.e. permitting non-standard base-pairing at the 3rd anti-codon position. Lineage: Eukaryota; Filasterea; Ministeriida; Ministeriidae. The record is from RNAcentral.